RNAcentral lists this ribosomal RNA (242 nucleotides) under uncultured bacterium. RNAcentral's name for it is "partial 16S ribosomal RNA". It matches the Rfam family "Bacterial small subunit ribosomal RNA", at positions 8 to 240 of the family's 1533-position model. The record is from RNAcentral.
AGAGUUUGAUCAUGGCUCAGGAUGAACGCUAGCUACAGGCUUAACACAUGCAAGUCGAGGGGCAGCAUGAACUUAGCUUGCUAAGUUUGAUGGCGACCGGCGCACGGGUGAGUAACACGUAUCCAACCUGCCGAUGACUCGGGGGAUAGCCUUUCGAAAGAAAGAUUAAUACCCGAUGGCAUAGUUCUUCCGCAUGGUAGAAUUAUUAAAGAAUUUCGGUCAUCGAUGGGGGAUGCGUUCCA